Molecule: transfer RNA, 75 nt
Filed under: Priestia megaterium
Lineage: Bacteria; Bacillati; Bacillota; Bacilli; Caryophanales; Bacillaceae
Also listed under: 1 other name
Description: Bacillus megaterium tRNA-Asn
Rfam family: tRNA
About the family: Transfer RNA (tRNA) molecules are approximately 80 nucleotides in length. Their secondary structure includes four short double-helical elements and three loops (D, anti-codon, and T loops). Further hydrogen bonds mediate the characteristic L-shaped molecular structure. tRNAs have two regions of fundamental functional importance: the anti-codon, which is responsible for specific mRNA codon recognition, and the 3' end, to which the tRNAs corresponding amino acid is attached (by aminoacyl-tRNA synthetases). tRNAs cope with the degeneracy of the genetic code in two manners: having more than one tRNA (with a specific anti-codon) for a particular amino acid; and 'wobble' base-pairing, i.e. permitting non-standard base-pairing at the 3rd anti-codon position.
Source: RNAcentral
UGGCUAGUAGCUCAGCGGUAGAGCAAUCGGCUGUUAACCGAUCGGUCGCACGUUCGAAUCGUGCCUAGCCAGCCA